GGAACAUGGAACAUUGAGCUCUCAAUGGGUCCCCUUCUCUUCCCAAACCUCAGGUUCUCCAUCCAUAAAGUAAGGGCUUUAGAGGUCCGAUGGCACGUUCCACACCAGUAGUCCCAUGCUCCUAGGAUGUUCAGUGUUUGUCUAUGUCUAGUUAAAGCCAGAAUGGAGCAAUCGUCUUCCCUAUUUAGGCCAACAGAGAGACCUUUAGCCAAUUAGAGAUGAAACUGAGCAAGAGAAAAGACCUGAGACAGUCUUUGAUGAAAUCUACUCUAUGUGAUAUACUUCCUUCUCUUUCUCACUGCAUUUGUCCCCCAUUGCCUUUGUAGCCCCACCAAACCCUCCAAGACCAAGAGGAGAGAAUUCUCCAGAACUCAUUCAUUAGGAUCUGGCACUGAAAAAGGAGAGAGAGUGUGUGUCUUGUUGAAAUGCUGGAUGAGAGGGUCAGCAAUAGUGUGUGAACCAAUAUUUAGAGCCAUAGCAAGGGAGUCAAAAUAAAGGAGGCCAGCUCCAUUGAGAGAGAGAGAGA
Gracilinanus agilis (Agile Gracile Mouse Opossum) is the source of this 526-nucleotide long non-coding RNA. RefSeq lists it as uncharacterized. The record is from RefSeq and is a predicted model, not a curated record. The transcript has 2 exons. Lineage: Eukaryota; Metazoa; Chordata; Mammalia; Didelphimorphia; Didelphidae.